RNAcentral lists this ribosomal RNA (284 nucleotides) under uncultured bacterium. Its description in RNAcentral is "partial 16S ribosomal RNA". It matches the Rfam family "Bacterial small subunit ribosomal RNA", at positions 30 to 314 of the family's 1533-position model. The record is from RNAcentral.
AUUGAACGCUGGCGGCAUGCCUUACACAUGCAAGUCGAACGGCAGCACGGGAGCAAUCCUGGUGGCGAGUGGCGAACGGGUGAGUAAUAUAUCGGAACGUGCCCAGUCGUGGGGGAUAACGUAGCGAAAGCUACGCUAAUACCGCAUACGAUCUAUGGAUGAAAGCGGGGGAUCGCAAGACCUCGCGCGAUUGGAGCGGCCGAUAUCAGAUUAGGUAGUUGGUGAGGUAAAGGCUCACCAAGCCGACGAUCUGUAGCUGGUCUGAGAGGACGACCAGCCACACG